ACUCCUACGGGAGGCAGCAGUGGGGAAUAUUGGACAAUGGGCGGAAGCCUGAUCCAGCAACGCCGCGUGAGGGAUGACGGCCUUCGGGUUGUAAACCUCUUUCAGUAGGGACGAAGCGCAAGUGACGGUACCUACAGAAGAAGCACCGGCCAACUACGUGCCAGCAGCCGCGGUAAUACGUAGGGUGCGAGCGUUGUCCGGAAUUAUUGGGCGUAAAGGGCUCGUAGGCGGUUUGUCGCGUCGGGAGUGAAAACACCGGGCUUAACUCGGUGCUUGCUUUCGAUACGGGCAGACUAGAGGUAUGCAGGGGAGAACGGAAUUCCUGGUGUAGCGGUGAAAUGCGCAGAUAUCAGGAGGAACACCGGUGGCGAAGGCGGUUCUCUGGGCAUUACCUGACGCUGAGGAGCGAAAGUGUGGGGAGCGAACAGGAUUAGAUACCCUGGUAGUCCACACCGUAAACGUUGGGCGCUAGGUGUGGGGCCUAUUCCAUGGGUUCCGUGCCGCAGCUAACGCAUUAAGCGCCCCGCCUGGGGAGUACGGCCGCAAGGCUAAAACUCAAAGGAAUUGACGGGGGCCCGCACAAGCGGCGGAGCAUGCGGAUU
RNAcentral lists this ribosomal RNA (602 nucleotides) under uncultured bacterium. RNAcentral describes it as "bacterial SSU rRNA". It matches the Rfam family "Bacterial small subunit ribosomal RNA", at positions 335 to 947 of the family's 1533-position model. The record is from RNAcentral.